CCUACGGGCGGCAGCAGUGGGGAAUAUUGCACAAUGGGCGCAAGCCUGAUGCAGCCAUGCCGCGUGUGUGAAGAAGGCCUUCGGGUUGUAAAGCACUUUCAGCGGGGAGGAAGGCGGUGAGGUUAAUAACCUCAUCGAUUGACGUUACCCGCAGAAGAAGCACCGGCUAACUCCGUGCCAGCAGCCGCGGUAAUACGGAGGGUGCAAGCGUUAAUCGGAAUUACUGGGCGUAAAGCGCACGCAGGCGGUCUGUCAAGUCGGAUGUGAAAUCCCCGGGCUCAACCUGGGAACUGCAUUCGAAACUGGCAGGCUAGAGUCUAGUAGAGGGGGGUAGAAUUCCAGGUGUAGCGGUGAAAUGCGUAGAGAUCUGGAGGAAUACCGGUGGCGAAGGCGGCCCCCUGGACAAAGACUGACGCUCAGGUGCGAAAGCGAGGGGAGCAAACAGGAUUAGAUACCCGUGUAGUC
RNAcentral lists this ribosomal RNA (465 nucleotides) under uncultured Klebsiella sp. RNAcentral describes it as "bacterial SSU rRNA". It matches the Rfam family "Bacterial small subunit ribosomal RNA", at positions 338 to 795 of the family's 1533-position model. The record is from RNAcentral. Lineage: Bacteria; Pseudomonadati; Pseudomonadota; Gammaproteobacteria; Enterobacterales; Enterobacteriaceae.